AGCAGUCGCCGCGGGAAUACGUAGGUGGCAAGCGUUGUCCGGAAUUAUUGGGCGUAAAGGGCUCGCAGGCGGUUUCUUAAGUCUGAUGUGAAAGCCCCCGGCUCAACCGGGGAGGGUCAUUGAAAACUGGGAAACUUGAGUGCAGAAGAGGAGAGUGGAAUUCCACGUGUAGCGGUGAAAUGCGUAGAGAUGUGGAGGAACACCAGUGGCGAAGGCGACUCUCUGGUCUGUAACUGACGCUGAGGAGCGAAAGCGUGGGGAGCGAACAGGAUUAGAUACCCGCGUAGUCCCUGUCUCUUAUAC
RNAcentral lists this ribosomal RNA (303 nucleotides) under uncultured bacterium. RNAcentral's name for it is "partial 16S ribosomal RNA". It matches the Rfam family "Bacterial small subunit ribosomal RNA", at positions 507 to 807 of the family's 1533-position model. The record is from RNAcentral.